CCCGCAGCGGCCGGGCUCCGACGCCUGAGGUCCCAAGCGCCUGCUCCCGGGCCGCCACCCAAGCUGGAGCUGUGAGUAAGGGAGAGAAUGGCAUGAACCAGGAGGAUGGGGAGAUGCACGCCAGCCAGCUUAUGCAGGGUCUUUUAAGGACAGCCAGUCAUCUGAGGUAGACGUUAUUCUUCCCAUUUUGCUGUUGAAGAAGUUGAGCACGAGACAAGUGAUUUGACCAGAGAUGAGGAGAAGGGAAGUCGGAGAGAUUCGAAGUGUGGGCAAGACUUGACCCAGCAUCGCUGGCUUUGGAGACGAGGGAGGUCACGGCCAGGGAAUAUGGGCAGCCUUGAGACGCUGAGGCAAGGAAACAGGGACCUGAGCUCUGCCAACAACCGGAAUGAGCCUGGAAAUGUGUUCUCCCCUUGCGCCUCCAGAGAGGAAUGCAGCCCUGCCAACACCUUCAUCCUGCCACGUGCAACACUUCGCAAAGAACCUGCUGAGCCCUGCUGUGCCUGGACUCCUGGCUCAUGGAAAUCAUGAGGACUGAGUUAUGUGGGAAACGCAGCCUGCAACAAUGUGAUGGCAUUUUGCAGGAAAAUGAGCCGCAGUUGUGCAAGUCAGUCUAACUUCAGAACUCAGCCCUAAGUGUAUCACCUUUACCCAGUCUCACCGUGACCUCUUGCGAGACCUGUUUGAGAUGCUCAGUCAAUACCGAAAUAAUUUGAAAGAAUGAUGCAGAUUUUAUUCACUCAAUAAGCGAACAUUUGUUGGGCACCUACCAUGUACCAAUGAGCUUUCCAGGUGUUGGGGAUAAAAUGUAGAACAAGACAGACUCUCUUCUGCCUCCUUGGAGUUCAUGCACCAGUGUGGAAAACAGAGAUUGAACAAAUAAUUACAACUGGCAUGAUAUUUCUGGAAUCACAUCCAAAGGACUUUCUGGAGCAUGGUUCCGUCUGUAUCCCACCUCUUGGGUCCACUCUAUGUAUGAUAGGAAUGGCUGCGUACCGACCAAUGCUGCAUCUGAAGGAGAUAUAAACCAGAUCUAAAGCUGGAGUCUAAGAUUGUCCUGGGCUUCCAGAAGUUCUUGAUUUGGGAAUAAUUUUAAUCUUUUUGUGACUCUGGUAAAAGCUGUGGAUUCCUUCUCCAGAGAAAGGCACGUGUACAUAUAUACAUAAAAUGUUGCUUGGUCUUUUUAGGACACUAUGGACCUUGGAUCAAGAACCUUUGGCCAAGAAACAAAUAAUGCAAUAUAUGUUAAGAAAAAAAAAAGAAGAAGA
Molecule: non-coding RNA, 1268 nt
Organism: Leptonychotes weddellii (Weddell seal)
Lineage: Eukaryota; Metazoa; Chordata; Mammalia; Carnivora; Phocidae
Source: RefSeq, a predicted model, not a curated record